AAGAAAAGUUAGUACUAUGUACUUCCAAUCAGUUUCAACCGUUUCCAUCGAUUAAAUUUGAAUAUCAAUUCGUUGCCACUCCGAUAAAACUUAUGGAUCGAAGCGGGAGUGAAGCUCAUGUUACUCCCGAUCUUAUUGUGACGCGUUUCCAUCGGCUUAAAUUUUGUCUUACGCCGCAACAGAUGCGAAGUAUAUAGCAGAUAUCGCCACAAGGCGUGUUCGUUACGUUUCGUAUUUUUCGGGUACUGUCCCUUCCCUGUCUGCAUAGACGUGGCAAGAACAUGGCAAGCAUGUCGCUGUGAUAUCAUUACGUUGUAGCGACGUGCUUGCCACGUACGGUGCAGUCAGGGUUACUCUAGAUACGAAGAUCUCCGUGCGGAAUAAUACGGACUCUUUUUAUCGUAAUAAACGUAAUAAACGUAAUUAACAUAUACUUUAUUUAACACAGUCUUAAAUAAUACUCUAUCACAGCCAGACAACUCGCGUCUUAUCUCGCCUUUGUACAAUAACCGUCUCCGUUUCUUUCUUUCGUUUUUUGUAAGUAUAUGGAAUGAAAUCUCACUCUCCCUCUAAUUGGUGCUGUCCAGAGUUGCCAUUUAGUAUCACCAGAAUUUAGAGGAUUGGACAAGUUGGUUGCCACAAUUUGGUUCUACGUCGCAACAGAUGCGAAGUAAUUUUUCGGUGGAAACUAAGCCAUUUUUUAUCACUUCAUAACUUUCGAUUCGUUUGAGAGCGACACUUUUUUCUUUCAAAAUCGUGUUCUACGCAUCAAAAUACACAAUUGUGCAAAGUUUCGGCGAAAUUAAUGAGAAGAUAAAUCGUGCACCCUGUAUAUGAAGAUUUGUUGAAACCUGAGCUAGUGAAGAGAGGGCAUACGCAAAACGUAAACGAGAGUUUUAACUCAAUCGUUUGACACUUAGCCUUCAAACAUUCAUAAGGAGUGCAGCAUCAGGCAUAAAAACCGUUGAAAUCGCAGCUUAUAUUGCCGCGGGCUUAUUCAACGAAGGCUAUUUUGCCAUUCUAAAGUUGAUGGAUGUCUUGGAAAUAAAAAUUGGAUCACAAUAUAAAAAAUACGCCGAUUCAUACGAUGCCGCGCGAAUCAAGCGCUUAGAGCGAGCCAGCAUCAGCAGCAGCAAAGAAGCUCGUGCUGCUCGUAGACUGCAGCAAAUCGAACAACAGCAGUUUUUCGAAGAAUCGGAAGGUUUCUAUAACUAUACGGCCUUGGAAUUGCUGAUUAGCUCAAAGUAACUACUACUAUAGUCGGAGCUAGAUGUUCCACCAUUUGGUGCCUGCAUUGCUGAAGUGGUUAGAAGCAUGCUUCUAUAUCUAAAUAUAAAUAUAUAUAUAUAUAUUGCAUUACAAAAAUUAUCUUCUACUUUUUUAAACAUCUAUUUCAUCAUAUAAAAAGGUCAAAUUAAAUGUGGAUAUUGCGGUGUGCUGUUGGCUUGCGGAUCAAAAAAUUUUAGAACACUAAUGCUUCAAGCAAUAUGAUGAAAACAUACAUGCAACAAAUCUUGACGAAAGUAAUGUAGCUACUGUGGGUAUAAGUAUUCCAACUGAACAUGUAUCAUUUUGUAUAUUAUAUGAAAUGUAGUAUUAUAAAUAUAUGACUUUACGUGACAUUCAAAUCUCAUCGUUCACAUGGACAAAAAAUUUGCGUAGUACAUAUUCGCGUAACCAAUGAAUUGUAACAUUUAGAAUUUCUGUUGGAAUGUUCUGUUGGAAUGUUCUAAGAGAAUAGCAAGAUAUCAUUGGUUGUAUGCGAUACGUUGCUGCCGUUUUAUGUUCCAUGUGCACUAAAAACAUUCAAUUCAGCGUAAUAGAAAGCGCGGAACGCCUCUGAUUGGUUACACCAGAGCUGGCCACGAUCUGCACAUUUCGGUCGAAAUUCAGUAGGUGACGCCUACCGUCCCCCUCGCACCGCUCCGCGCUCAGCGGCCGGGGCGACGAUCGUGGUGCACUCAGGCCCGUCGCUAUAUAAGAAAUCAGCUGCGGCGUUACAGUAUC
Molecule: long non-coding RNA, 2007 nt
Organism: Harpegnathos saltator (Jerdon's jumping ant)
Lineage: Eukaryota; Metazoa; Arthropoda; Insecta; Hymenoptera; Formicidae
Exons: 4
Source: RefSeq, a predicted model, not a curated record